CGCCCUCCUGCCCGCAAGCUGGGGAGUCACUGCGGCCCGGGAGGGAGGGACAGGGAGGGCAUUUUUCCAGUCUUCACCAGGUGCUCCCCUCUCCACCCCCCGCAACCGUGUAGGUUUCUGGACCCCCAGGUCCGCUUCCCUCCCUCGCUGGAAAGGGGUCGGCCAUCCGGAAAGGGCCCGGGGGCGCCGCAGCCUGGCCCCCACCCCGCCCGCAGCCCCGCUCCUCCCCGCGCGGCCCCACUUGUGGCCCUGCCGACAGCCGCGCAGGGACAGCUGCAUUCUCGCCGCCCGCCGCUAGGAAGCCGGCCUCGCCUCGCUUUCUCCGCCUCCCCGCGCCCCAGCCGCGCCGCCGCCGCCGAGCCCGGCCCCGCCGCCGCCGCUGCGGAUUGCAGCCCUCCCCGCCCGGCCCGCGGCCCCGGCGGCCCGCGGGCGACGCGCGUGGCGCUGCCCGGUAAGAUCCCCGCGCUCCCGCAGCUCCCGCCCGGCCCUGGGCGCGGUCCUCGCCGGCGCCCCGCGCGCAAUCCCGGCCCCAGCCCGGCGGCCCCACCUUCUCCGGACCCGUUGCACAGGCGCCGCCGGGAGGGCCGGGCCGUCGCGAGUUUGAUUCCCGGGACUGUCGGCGCGGCUCCCCGGGAGCUCCGCGUGCGGCAGGUCCCCGCCCGCCCUUCCUUCCCGAGCCCCCACCUCAUCCCGGGCCCCGGGCGCGGGGCGUGCGGGCAUCUGGGGGGCCGGGAGCGGGGCGCGCGAUUAGACUGGGGGCGCGGGCCGGCGGCGCAGGGAAGGGAGACGAGGCCUCCCGGAGCCGGCGCCGCCCGAGUCCCUCUCCCGCGGCUCCCUCUUUUGUGUGGGCGCCCCUCCCGCAGUGCCCGGGCCUGGGGGCGCAGGCUGGGCGGCGACGGCAGGCGGGGGCGCCUGAUGGGAGCUGAGCGCCUUUCAAGGGGAGGGGAGCUUCGCUUCCUGCCCCCGCCGAUGUCACAGGUCGGCUCAGCCUUUUUUGGUCCCUCCCGGUCCCCUGGGAGCUGUAUCUCCCGUCAGCUCGGCCAGAGAAAGUUGGGAAUGCGCUGUCCCCGCCCCUGCUCCCCCGCCCCGCCGGCUCCUGUGCCCCGGGCUCUGAGCUCCAAGGGGCUGGUGUCGGCGUUUAUUCAUUCCGCCCUCUUCCUUUUGUCGGUCGCAUGGUCGCCUUACACCCAGCACUGCCCUGCCCAUUUCUUUUCCCCCUAA
Molecule: long non-coding RNA, 1221 nt
Filed under: Macaca fascicularis (crab-eating macaque)
Lineage: Eukaryota; Metazoa; Chordata; Mammalia; Primates; Cercopithecidae
Description: lncRNA (ENSMFAG00000057885.1)
Source: RNAcentral